GAGGGCUUGGUCCGCCAGCCAUGCCACACUCAAGGCCACCCCUGAGUGCAGCUGGCUCAGACUGGAGUGGCCCUGCAGGCUCCUGGCAGGUGGGGCUCUGCGGCUUCAGAGACAGGACCGUCUCCUUCCAGUUACUUCACCCACGAAGGACCACAAGCACUGCAGUUCCCUUCUGUAAGCACUGCGGCUUGCACUCGUGGAUCGUUGAUUUCACUCACUUAAUACACACUCGCGGAGCGUCGCCUGCGCCCUCACGUGCUGGGCACUGGGUUCCAACAGUGAGCAAAACAGACAAAACCUCCUGCCCUCACGAAACUUAUAUUCUGGAAGAGUCGGCAAGACAAUGAGCAAAAAUAAAGAAGAUAUGCCCUGCACCAGGUGGCGACAACCUCUGGGCAGAACAAAGGUACAGAGGAAGGGUGCAGCAUUGGGGGAAAGGGGUGGAGCUAAACAGUGGUCAGAAAGGUCCCCCUGAGGUGACAUGAGAGCAGAAAGCCAAAACAGGGCUGAGCCGUGCAGUGUCUGGGGACAGCUUUCCAGGCAGAGGGGACGGGGUGCAAAGGCCCGAGGCCACCAUCUCGUGGUUCAACUCAAGAAACCUUGAGUCAUAAACCGCUGGGUUUGCAUUUUGUUGCUGUGAUCAAAAGACCCACCAGGAACUCACUUAGCAGAGCAAAAGUUCAUUUGACCUCACCUUUCAGGGGUUUGGCCCUUAGUUGUCUGACCCCAUUGCUCCAUGGGCCCAAGGAGAGGCAGAGCUUCGAGGCGGAAGCGCGUGUGGAGGAGUUCCGUCUCAUGCGUGGUGGGCAGGAAGGGUCUGCAGGGAAGGUGCCCAUCUAGGCCACAGCCCCAGUGACCCGCCUCCUCCUGCCAUGUCCCACCUGCCUCGUCACCACCCGAUCGGUCCAUUCAGACGAGGACAUCGGAUCAUUCUACCUUGGUCUUCUGCCUCCUGCGCCAGGGCAAUUUAGAGUGGUUUAAGAUUAUCCAGAUUCUACAGGGUGCCCUCUAUGGCACCCCUAGGGAUUAGGGAUGCCCAAACCCUGAGGUGGCAUAUGGAUUCCAGAAGGGCUGGUCCCUCAGGGAAGGGAACCAAAUCCAACCCAAAUGCAUGCAGCCUCCUCACUGUCUGACCCUGUGUCCCCCUUUGGGGGUGAAGGGGCUCUCCUACUCUGAGAGGGUUGUGCCUUAUGCAGACCAGAGCGGGGAAAUGGCCACGGAACACCACUGAGUGAUCGUAGGCUGACCAGCCAGCCACUGCCCAGGAAUCAGAGGUCAGCCUGUGGCCAAGGUCAGCAGCCAGCCUUGAGUCUGAGGUUUGUGGUCAGACCAGGAAUCAGCUGGAAUCAAGAGUCAAAUCUGUAGCCAGAUCGAGAGUCGCACAUGGUUCAGUUCAGGGAUCAGCCUGAGAAACAGCAGUCACUGCUCAGACGGGGACUUCAUGCAUCACCGGGGUCAUAGGUCAGGCGGGCCAAGGUCAGGGCUACUCCUGGCCAAGGGGAAGGGGUAUGUGUCUGUGGAAUGAAGCCUCCCAGCCCAGCUGCACCAGCCCAAAGUCUGACGGCCACACCAGGCGGGAAAUAGAAGGGAAAAAGCAGUCACAGAUCCCAAGUCUGGACCUGGAGUGUCCCCUGAAGGCCGCGUGUCCCAGCCGGUGGUGAGCUGGGGGGUGCCGAAAUCUUCCAGAGGUGGGGCCUCGUGGGAGGAAGCUGGGUCCCUGGGGGUGUGCCUUCCCAGGGAGCGCCAAGACCCCAGCCCCCUCCCAUCUCUCAUUGUUUGUGAAUAGCUUCGAUCUGCCAUGGGCCUCCGCCAUGAAUGUGCUGGGCUGCCCCGGGGCCCAAAGCCACAGGCCCAAGUGACCAGGAACUAAAAGCUCUGAAACCAUGAGCCAAAGAAACUUUCCCCCUUCUAAGUCGAUGUCCGCAGGUAUGUUGUCACAGUGACGGAGAGCUGACACGGACACGCUGAGCCGCUUCAAGAUCCAGUCAGACCAACUCCAUUGGGCUUCAAGGCCUGGGGAUCCACCGUCAUUUGCAGCUCUGAGCUCCAUAUACACAGUGACAAUGACGAUGACGAAAACAGCUUUGCAUUGGACCUCACACUAUAUAAAAAAGACGAACCGGAGCAAAUUAUAUGGACCUAAACAAGCUUGAUUGUAAGGGAACAAGCCCCUCGGAGUCCAUGAUCAUCUGAUGUGUGAAAAUCCAGAGAAGACAAAGCUGUGGGGACAGAAAGCAGAUCAGUGGCUGCUAAUGUCCAGGGAGCAGGAGGAGGACGCGGUCAUCUCCAAAGUGUUGGGAGCGCAUGUCUUUUGAGGGUGAUGGAAGGGUUCUAUGUCCCUACUGUAGACUGGCUCGCAACUGGAAUCGUUUUCAAAAUAUCUCCAAGUGUGCGCUCGGAAGGGAGGCCUUGGUGUAUGCAGACUGUGUGCUGGUAAAGAUGAUUUUGGAAGUGUCCUCUACUCCUGGCGUAGGAGGGGAAG
This 2482-nucleotide long non-coding RNA is filed under the name Marmota monax (woodchuck). Lineage: Eukaryota; Metazoa; Chordata; Mammalia; Rodentia; Sciuridae. The record is from RNAcentral.